RNA transcript from Zalophus californianus (California sea lion), 2796 nucleotides. It is a transcript of the gene named platelet activating factor acetylhydrolase 2, with no coding region annotated. Lineage: Eukaryota; Metazoa; Chordata; Mammalia; Carnivora; Otariidae. The transcript has 12 exons. The record is from RefSeq and is a predicted model, not a curated record.
UCCAGGCGGAGAGGACGGGAACGCUUUUAGGCGCCAAUGAUGAGUUCUGGAAACUACAUCUACCAAAGGGCCACGAGCUCCGCAGUAGUUUCUGGUUUCCGUGGCGUUGACCUUCUGGGUUACUUCUGAGGGGUCAACUUAGCUGGCCAUCAAGUUCAGCACUGCCCAGUUCGUUGUUUGUUUCAACUGGUGAUCAGAUGGGGGUGAACCAGUCCGUGGGCUUCCCGCCUGUCACAGGACCCCACCUUGUAGGCUGCGGGGAUGUGAUGGAGGGCCAGGGUCUCCAGGGGAGCUUCUUUCGACUCUUCUACCCCUGCCAAGAGGUGGAGGAGACCACGGAGCAGCCCCUGUGGAUUCCCCGCUCUGAGUACUGCACUGGCCUGGCCAGUUACCUGCGCUAUAAUAAGCGCUGGGGGGGGUUGCUGUUCAGCUUGGCUGUAGGAUCUUGUCGCCUGCCUGUUAGCUGGAAUGGCCCCUUUAAGACAAAGGACUCUGGAUACCCGCUGAUCAUCUUCUCGCAUGGCAUGGGGGCCUUCAGGACGCUGUAUUCAGCCUUCUGCAUGGAGCUGGCCUCCCAUGGCUUCGUGGUUGCUGUCCUGGAACACAGGGACGGGUCUGCUGCGACCACCUGUUUCUGCAAGCAGGCCCCAGGGGAGAGCCAGCUUACUCAUGAGCCACUGGAGGAGGAAUGGCUCCCUCACCAUCAGAUUGAAGAAGGGGAGAAGGAAUUCCAUGUCCGGAAUUGCCAGGUACAUCAGAGGGUAAACGAGUGUACACGGGUGUUGAGGAUCCUGCAAGAGGUCACUGCUGGGCAGAUCGUCCUUAACAUCUUUCCUGAUGGGUUGGAUCUGAUGACCUUGAAGGGCAGCAUCAACAUGAGCCGCGUAGCUGUGAUGGGACAUUCAUUUGGCGGGGCCACGGCGGUCUUGGCUUUGGCCAAGGAGACCCAGUUUCGGUGUGCUGUGGCUCUGGAUGCUUGGAUGUUUCCUCUGGAACAUGACUUUUACCCCAAAGCCCGAGGCCCUGUGUUCUUUAUCAAUGCUGAGAAAUUCCAGACAAUGGAGAGUGUCAACUUGAUGAAGAAGAUAUGUGCUCAGCACGAACAGUCCAGGAUCAUAACUGUCCUUGGUUCUGUUCAUCGGAGUCAAACUGACUUUGCUUUUGUGGCUGGUAACUGGAUUGGUAAAUUCUUCUCCACUCAAACCCGUGGGAGCUUGGACCCAUAUGAAGGUCAGGAGAUUAUGGUGAGGGCCAUGUUGGCCUUCCUGCAGAAGCACCUAGAACUGAAGGAAGACUAUGACCAGUGGAACAGCCUCAUUGAAGGCAUCGGACCAUCGCUCACCCCAGGGGCCCCACACCAUCUGUCCAGCCUGUAGGCACAGUUGGUCAUUUGUGAAAAGUCACUGAGCUAAGUUCCCAUUUGGGGCCUGCCCAGGGACACCUGUAGCCUAUCAAGAAGUGGUUGGCGUGAUCCUUCUUCACAGAUUGAGAGGAUAUAAUCGCGCUGCUGAUUGGAUAACUGGGAAAGGAAAUCUUCUUGGAAAUCUAACUCAAGAUUGCUGUCUGGGAACAUCAACCUGAAACACUCCUCUCCACUCCUCUAGACUUCAUACCUCAGCCCAGGUAGGGGACCCCAAGACAAGGCAGGAGCAAAAGGGAAAUGCAUCUCUACACAGUAGAUCCAAGGCCAGUGCCACCAAAGCAGGCUGGGACCAUGUCUCCCAUCUCAACAGCUAUUCUUUCUAAGACAUGAAAUAUCAGAUCCAUUGAGACUGUGGACCUUGGGAGGAUCUUAAGAAUUCCGGUGAGAUGGAGUGUAGGGAGAAUAUCAUUCAUUAAAGCACUGGGCUCUACAAUUCUGUAUCCUGGUUUUGAGUCCCAGCUCUACCGCUACUAACUGUGUAGAUUUGAGCAAAUUGUGUUCUUUUUCCAUUCUCAGUUCCUGAAUUUCUAAAACGGGGAUCUGCAUCAUGAAUCGUUAAGAGGAUUAAGCAUAAGGAUGUGUGACCCAUGGAUUAUUUAAAAGUAUGAUUCCUACUUUCUCAUUAUGUGAGAUUUUAUCUUACAGCUUUUGUUUUCUGGCUUUAUUGCUUUGUGGUCAAAGAAAAUAACCCCCAUGGGCUUCAUCCUUCAAGAUUUGUUGAAACUUGCUUUUUGGCCCAAUGUAAGGUCAGUUUUGUAAAUAUUCCUUAUAUGAUUUAAAAGACUGUAUAUUUUGAAGUUUUGGGCUUGCCAUGUUACUCAGCAGCACAUUAUGGACUUCCUUCUAUGAGCGUGCAUACAGGUAUUUAAUAGAGCCUUCAAACUCCUAUACGGGGACCAGAGCCCCUCCGCACUUGCAGAACCAGUAGAUGCCACUUCUUGUGCCUGGGGCUGGUUCUGCAGAUGCUGGGGGCUAGUUCUGGCAGCAUUAGCACAUGAGACCCAGCAAAUAUGUCCAAUGUCUACGCAGGUAUGUUUUGUAAAGAAGGUACUCCAAACCUGGAUCCAUCUCCUCCUUUCAGUUUAUGAUCUGGUAAUGACUCAUUUAUCUGGCAACACUGGAGUAGGUGAAUCUUUAUAUAAUUGAAAAUUAUCCUUUAAGCCACAAAAUAUAAUAUAAUAUUGACUAUUUUGAAUGGCAAUCUACCAAAAAGAUAAUGCACCCAUUUUCUUAAUGUGAGCUGACGUAUAACUUUUUAGGAUGUCUCUGUUAAGAUAAACUAGAUUGGGCGCCUGGGUGGCUCAGUUGGUUAAGCAACUACCUUCGGCUCAGGUCAUGAUCCUGGAGUCCCGGGAUCGAGUCCCGCAUCGGGC